RNAcentral lists this unclassified non-coding RNA (21 nucleotides) under Mus musculus (house mouse). Its description in RNAcentral is "oocyte_clustered_small_RNA13555". Lineage: Eukaryota; Metazoa; Chordata; Mammalia; Rodentia; Muridae. The record is from RNAcentral.
GGGGAGGGCGCGGAGCAGGGC